RNAcentral lists this non-coding RNA (342 nucleotides) under Pongo abelii (Sumatran orangutan). The record is from RNAcentral. Lineage: Eukaryota; Metazoa; Chordata; Mammalia; Primates; Hominidae.
AAUCAUCAGGUGGUGAAGUCAGCCUGACUUCUGUCCUUCCCUUCAGGGUGGUAAUUAUCCAGUUGAUAUUUAUCUUGUUCCAGUCACCUUAAGAAAGCUGUUUGCUCUCAAAUCUCCUCUAUUGAUUGAUCUGAGUUGGCUGAUGAGUUGGCAGGUUUUGGAAAUCACUAGUGGGUAAAAAAGACCAAUUUGCAACUAGGCUGUCAUGCUCUGUUGAAAACUAUGUCACAAUAUCACAAUACUAGAUGUUGGGCUCAAGACAGCAAACAGAAAGCAGCAAGGGCAGUGACUGGAAGCUGGGAGAGAGGGUCAACAGCUGAAUCUCAGCCUGAUAGAGGCCAC